AAUUGCUCGCUGGACAACGGCGGCUGCACGCAUUACUGCCUAGAGGAGGUGGGCUGGCGGCGCUGUAGCUGUGCGCCUGGCUACAAGCUGGGGGACGACCUCCUGCAGUGUCAGCCCGCAGUGAAGUUCCCUUGUGGGAGGCCCUGGAAGCGGAUGGAGAAGAAGCGCAGUCACCUGAAACGAGACACAGAAGACCAAGAAGACCAAGUAGAUCCGCGGCUCAUUGAUGGGAAGAUGACCAGGCGGGGAGACAGCCCCUGGCAGGUGGGAGGCGAGGCAGCACUGGCUCCUCACGCGCUGGGUCCGGGGUCACGGAGCCCAUCCUGGCAGCUGUGCUCAGGGUGCAGAAACCGGGAGGGAAACACUGCCAUUGCUUUUGGGGGAUGAUAAAGGUGGGGGAUGCUUCAGGGAAAGAUGGACGCAACCUGAGGGGAGAGGAGCAGCCAGGCUGGGUGAGGGGAGGGGCACGGGGACAUGGAGGGGUCUGCAGGAGGGAGGGUUACAGUUUCUAAAAAGAGCUGGAAAGACACUGCUCUGCUGGCGGGAUUUUAGGCAGAAGCCCU
This 563-nucleotide small RNA is filed under the name Pongo abelii (Sumatran orangutan). RNAcentral's name for it is "retained intron". The record is from RNAcentral. Lineage: Eukaryota; Metazoa; Chordata; Mammalia; Primates; Hominidae.